GGUCCCGUAGCUCAGGUGGUUAGAGCGCGCGGCUGAUAACCGCGAGGUCGGAGGUUCGAAUCCUCCCGGGACCA
This 74-nucleotide transfer RNA is filed under the name Pseudomonadota bacterium. RNAcentral describes it as "tRNA-Ile". It matches the Rfam family "tRNA". Rfam says of the family: Transfer RNA (tRNA) molecules are approximately 80 nucleotides in length. Their secondary structure includes four short double-helical elements and three loops (D, anti-codon, and T loops). Further hydrogen bonds mediate the characteristic L-shaped molecular structure. tRNAs have two regions of fundamental functional importance: the anti-codon, which is responsible for specific mRNA codon recognition, and the 3' end, to which the tRNAs corresponding amino acid is attached (by aminoacyl-tRNA synthetases). tRNAs cope with the degeneracy of the genetic code in two manners: having more than one tRNA (with a specific anti-codon) for a particular amino acid; and 'wobble' base-pairing, i.e. permitting non-standard base-pairing at the 3rd anti-codon position. Lineage: Bacteria; Pseudomonadati; Pseudomonadota. RNAcentral also lists the same sequence under 2 other names. The record is from RNAcentral.